UGCUCAAUAACAAACUCCACCAAUGAGCCAACAGGGAAGCUUUAGGUUUAUUAAAUGUUGCUAUGAAGGUUUCACUGUUUUUCUUUGUGAAUGCAAUGUGCUCCAACUGAAACUUGAAUUAGAACUUAGAAGUAAAUCCUUCCAUUUGUAAGGAUUUAGUUACAUUAAUAACCUCACAAUGUUCUAAUUUUUAUUCCAGUCUUGGUUGGAAAUAGAAUCUCUGUAUUGAUUCAGGUAAAAACUGAACUUCACAGCAUGUUGGAGCAAAACAACCAGAUGAAAACUGUGAUGGUGUUGGAUUGUCAGACCGUAAUGUUGCAGCUCAAAGCAGCUUUUCUAUCUCAGUUCAUUCUGACAUUCAGCUAUAAAUCAACACAGCAGAUGGUGAUCCAUGCUGUGGAAGUCUCACAUCUCCUGAUUUAAUGGAGCUGCUUUACACUUUUUACACUGUUUAUUCACCAACACUUUAUUUAAUAAAAGUCCCAUCUAGUUUUCAUGAGGAAUGUGAUGUUUUAAUUUCUCUGUGAAUAACUGCAGUCUAAUGGAACAGCUGGAGUUGUAACAUCUGUCCUGAUAUUGAUCAUGAAGUAUUGAUCAGAAUACUUAUGGUCAGCAGUCAUCCCUGAAGUUUUACAUUAAAAUCUUUACUUGUGUUGUGAACUUUGGUAAGAAGGAGAAACGUUACCGUUGCCAUGGAUACAUGUUUGUGAUGCUGAAGCAGUGACCAGUUUUUCUGUUUCUUCUCUGGAGAUGCACAAUGAGGGACGUCUGCAGAGACUGAGAAAGAGUCUCACCACAUCCUGACAUGAGGAAAAAGACUUUAUUGAAGACUACAAUGAGAAAAACUAUCAGACAGCAGAUGGCUGCAUUCAAGUCUGUAGCUGCUGAAUUCAUGGAUGAAUCAUCUGGCACUAGAUGAAGACGACCAUCAAACAUCCACGUCAGCUGAUGGAGGUCCAAGAGUCUCACCAAACAAACAACCUACAGAGUGAAGACCUCUAACCUGAUUGGACGGCCUCCUAUUCAGCCACGUGUGAACAAAUGCCUCUAAGUUGAUUUGUUUUCUAAAAUAAAUCUAGUUUGAGUCCUAA
Molecule: long non-coding RNA, 1091 nt
Organism: Amphiprion ocellaris (clown anemonefish)
Lineage: Eukaryota; Metazoa; Chordata; Actinopteri; Pomacentridae
Exons: 2
Source: RefSeq, a predicted model, not a curated record